This 497-nucleotide ribosomal RNA is filed under the name uncultured bacterium. Its description in RNAcentral is "partial 16S ribosomal RNA". It matches the Rfam family "Bacterial small subunit ribosomal RNA", at positions 28 to 507 of the family's 1533-position model. The record is from RNAcentral.
GAUGAACGCUGGCGGCGUGCCUAAUACAUGCAAGUCGAGCGAACGGACGAGAAGCUUGCUUCUCUGAUGUUAGCGGCGGACGGGUGAGUAACACGUGGAUAACCUACCUAUAAGACUGGGAUAACUUCGGGAAACCGGAGCUAAUACCGGAUAAUAUUUUGAACCGCAUGGUUCAAAAGUGAAAGACGGUCUUGCUGUCACUUAUAGAUGGAUCCGCGCUGCAUUAGCUAGUUGGUAAGGUAACGGCUUACCAAGGCAACGAUGCAUAGCCGACCUGAGAGGGUGAUCGGCCACACUGGAACUGAGACACGGUCCAGACUCCUACGGGAGGCAGCAGUAGGGAAUCUGCCGCAAUGGGCGAAAGCCUGACGGAGCAACGCCGCGUGAGUGAUGAAGGUCUUCGGAGCGUAAAACUCUGUUAUUAGGGAAGAACAUAUGUGUAAGUAACUGUGCACAGCGUGACGGUACCUAAUCAGAAAGCCACGGCUAACUACGUG